UGAGGUUAUAGUUUCUU
RNAcentral lists this microRNA (17 nucleotides) under Corchorus olitorius. RNAcentral describes it as "hsa-miR-45". The record is from RNAcentral. Lineage: Eukaryota; Viridiplantae; Streptophyta; Magnoliopsida; Malvales; Malvaceae.